AGUGAACGCUGGCGGUAGGCCUAACACAUGCAAGUCGAACGGCAGCACAGGAGAGCUUGCUCUCUGGGUGGCGAGUGGCGGACGGGUGAGGAAUACAUCGGAAUCUACUCUGUCGUGGGGGAUAACGUAGGGAAACUUACGCUAAUACCGCAUACGACCUACGUGUGAAAGCAGGGGACCUUCGGCCCUUGCGCGAUUGAAUGAGCCGAUGUCGGAUUAGCUAGUUGGCGGGGUAAAGGCCCACCAAGGCGACGAUCCGUAGCUGGUCUGAGAGGAUGAUCAGCCACACUGGAACUGAGACACGGUCCAGAGUCCUACGGGAGGCAGCAGUGGGGAAUAUUGGACAAUGGGCGCAAGCCUGAUCCAGCCAUACCGCGUGGGUGAAGAAGGCCUUCGGGUUGUAAAGCCCUUUUGUUGGGAAAGAAAUCCAGCUGGCUAAUACCCGGUUGGGAUGACGGUACCCAAAGAAUAAGCACCGGCUAACUUCGUGCCAGCCGCCGCAGUAA
This 506-nucleotide ribosomal RNA is filed under the name uncultured bacterium. RNAcentral's name for it is "partial 16S ribosomal RNA". It matches the Rfam family "Bacterial small subunit ribosomal RNA", at positions 29 to 523 of the family's 1533-position model. The record is from RNAcentral.